Molecule: ribosomal RNA, 497 nt
Filed under: uncultured bacterium
Lineage: Bacteria
Description: partial 16S ribosomal RNA
Rfam family: Bacterial small subunit ribosomal RNA
Source: RNAcentral
GAUGAACGCUGGCGGCGUGCCUAAUACAUGCAAGUCGAGCGAACAGACGAGGAGCUUGCUCCUCUGACGUUAGCGGCGGACGGGUGAGUAACACGUGGAUAACCUACCUAUAAGACUGGGAUAAUUUCGGGAAACCGGAGCUAAUACCGGAUAAUAUAUUGAACCGCAUGGUUCAAUAGUGAAAGACGGUUUUGCUGUCACUUAUAGAUUGAUCCGCGCCGCAUUAGCUAGUUGGUAAGGUAAAGGCUUACCAAGGCGACGAUGCGUAGCCGACCUGAGAGGGUGAUCGGCCACACUGGAACUGAGACACGGUCCAGACUCCUACGGUAGGCAGCAGUAGGGAAUCUUACGCAAUGGGCGAGAGCCUGACGUAGCAACGCCGCGUGAGUGAUGAAGGUCUUCGGAUCGUAAAACUCUGUUAUUAGGGAAGAACAAAUGUGUAAGUAACUAUGCACGUCUUGACGGUACCUAAUCAGAAAGCCACGGCUAACUACGUG